RNAcentral lists this ribosomal RNA (231 nucleotides) under uncultured bacterium. Its description in RNAcentral is "partial 16S ribosomal RNA". It matches the Rfam family "Bacterial small subunit ribosomal RNA", at positions 355 to 580 of the family's 1533-position model. The record is from RNAcentral.
UAGGGAAUCUUCCACAAUGGACGCAAGUCUGAUGGAGCAACGCCGCGUGAGUGAAGAAGGCUUUCGGGUCGUAAAACUCUGUUAUUGAAGAAGAACGUGUGUGACAGUAACUGGUCAUGCAGUGACGGUAUUCAAUCAGAAAGUCACGGCUAACUACGUGCCAGCAGCCGCGGUAAUACGUAGGUGGCAAGCGUUGUCCGGAUUUAUUGGCGUAAGCGAGUGCAGGCGGUC